RNAcentral lists this long non-coding RNA (1658 nucleotides) under Pan troglodytes (chimpanzee). RNAcentral's name for it is "long non-coding RNA NONPTRT009312". Lineage: Eukaryota; Metazoa; Chordata; Mammalia; Primates; Hominidae. The record is from RNAcentral.
GUUAAAUGAUAAACAUUUAGUUCAUAACUUACUUUUCUUUUCUGCCUCUUUCAAAAAUAGUCUCGGUCAAGACAAGAAGAUCCAGAACAGUUAAGGCUGAAACAGAAGGCAAAGGAGAUGCAGCAACAGGAACUGGCACAAAUGAGACAGCGGGACGCCAACCUCACAGCACUAGCAGCGAUCGGGCCCAGGAAAAAGAGGAAAGUGGACUGUCCGGGGCCGGGCUCGGGAGCAGAGGGGUCGGGCCCCGGCUCAGUGGUCCCAGGCAGCUCGGGUGUCGGAACCCCCAGACAGUUCACGCGACAAAGAAUCACGCGGGUCAACCUCAGGGACCUCAUAUUUUGUUUAGAAAAUGAACGUGAGACAAGCCAUUCACUGCUGCUCUACAAAGCAUUCCUUAAGUGACACAGGAGGACGCCUGGGGACUUUUUAUAUAUUUGCAGAUUACGCCUUUUUGUAACAAGCAAAUGGGAUAUUGUUUAAAAAACAGCCACCUCUUUACAAUGGAACAGUUUUAUAUUCCUGUUUCUAAAUCAGCUCUUCAGUGUGAAAGAAAACACGUUUCUGUAACAGAGAGAACACAAAGGCCUGUGGAUACUCUUAAAGGACAACUAAAUCUUAACUCAUCUUGAUUGAGUGGCCUUCUUGCCAAACAAGCCAUAUAUAAAGACUGAUGGAAUCGUUAGCAAAUAAUUAGCUGCCCUCUGUCAACUCAUAGCAGUUUCUGCAUUAUUUGUGCAUUUUGGUUUAGUUCUACCUAACUUACUAUGUAGGUGUAUGUCUACAGCCGAUGACCUCAUUUCGUUUAUUUUAUUUUUGUAAUAGUCAGUUGGCAAAGCAAACUGAUUUUUUAGACUAUUUAUCUUCCUUCCCUUCCCCUCCCACCCCGCUCUCCUCUCUGCCCCCUGCCCUCCCCUCCUCUCCCUUCCCCUCCACUCCGCUGAGAAUCCUGGAGGAAUACACAAUUCAUCGUUGCACCCCCACCUCAGAGUGUAAUUGCAUUUCUGCUUGGUAGAGGCCGAGCCCAGCAAAGGUGGCUCCUUCUGAAUGUGUGGUCAGCAUCUGUACAAAUGCAUUUUAUUUGCUAUAGUUUGUAAAGCUGUAAAGUUAAAAGAGAUGAAAACCUUUUCAGCAUAAAUAUAUUUUACUUGCACUGUGUUUUUUAGCUAAAAGUGAAAACCUAGAUUAAAUAAAAUCAAAGUUGAGAAGAAUCAUCAAAAGACUGUUUCUCGGUGUGAAUCAAGUGUUGAAAAAUGGUUGGUGUAUUUUGUCAGUAAUUGUACAUAACUUUUGGCACAUGACAUAGAAAUGGCUAUGUAAACUAUAAUUAUUUUGCUAAGAGACUGUAUGCAAGCCUUGGGCCGACUUUACAGACGUCCAGAGCAAAGCCCCUUCUUUGUACCUAUUUUUUUAUUACAAAUAUACUAAUUGGUUCUUUCUAUUUUCAGAGGUUAUUGUAUGAAAUUGUCUAUUGAUAGUACUUUUAUGACUGUAAAUACUCCGGCUUUCUCCGUGUGAAUUCUCACAUUAGACUUUAAUUCGAGCGCGUGUGAACUGAACGCUGAUCAGUAUUUUUUAUCAACACCUGAGAACUGUUACACCUUUUAUUUUGUCUUUUAGGAAAUCCCUGUCUUUCCAUUUUUUCAUGUAAAUUUUGC